RNAcentral lists this transfer RNA (78 nucleotides) under Cladophialophora chaetospira. RNAcentral's name for it is "tRNA-Asp". The stretch from base 11 to 73 matches the Rfam family "tRNA", at positions 5 to 66 of the family's 71-position model. Rfam says of the family: Transfer RNA (tRNA) molecules are approximately 80 nucleotides in length. Their secondary structure includes four short double-helical elements and three loops (D, anti-codon, and T loops). Lineage: Eukaryota; Fungi; Ascomycota; Eurotiomycetes; Chaetothyriales; Herpotrichiellaceae. The record is from RNAcentral.
UCUCAACAGUCAAUGGUGUAGUGGUUAUCAUUCGAGCUUGUCACGCUCGGGACCCAGGUUCGAUUCCUGGUUGGGGAG